Molecule: transfer RNA, 73 nt
Filed under: Neisseria canis
Lineage: Bacteria; Pseudomonadati; Pseudomonadota; Betaproteobacteria; Neisseriales; Neisseriaceae
Also listed under: 1 other name
Rfam family: tRNA
About the family: Transfer RNA (tRNA) molecules are approximately 80 nucleotides in length. Their secondary structure includes four short double-helical elements and three loops (D, anti-codon, and T loops).
Source: Rfam by way of RNAcentral
GUACCCGUAGCUCAGUUGGAAGAGCGUCAGUUUCCGAAGCUGAAGGUCGCUGGUUCGAUCCCAGUCGGGUGCG